AAAAAACUUAGAACCCUUUGUAUCUCUCACCCUCCCCACUUCUGGCAUGAGACUCCGGCAAUCGGCCACCGUCUAUCAGCUGGCCACUGGCGUAGCUUCGCUAUGAGCGGUGGUCGGGACCACGCCAAACCACCUUUUUUAACCCCCUUUUUUUAGAUCUGAAGGCGAAGCCUUCCUAAAACAAAAGAGAAGGAGCCUUGACCCCGUUGGUUCGAUUUCAACGCCGGAAAAGGGGCUGCCGACGACGAAACCGGAAGGUGGUUCAGGUGAACCUUUUCUUUUUUCUUUGUAUUUUUGUAUAUAAAAAAAUAAAUAGAAAUGAAUAAAUAGAAACCUAAGAAUAAGAUAAAACAGUAAUAAAAAAAAUGAAAAUCUCCUUUUGAAGUCUUUUUUUUUUUUUUCUUAUGUUCGUAAAGAAGGGAAGAACAUUACAAACAUCAGAUUAAGGCCUUUAUAGCCGAAAUACAAAAUUCGUUUUUUGUUUUCUUUUCUAUUGUUUGCUUGUGCUUCUUUGUUUUUUUCGUUGUCUUCUCUGCUUGCGUGUUGUUUGCUGUCUUGCAGGUGUCAGACGCGUGGAUGGCCGGUGAUAGGCGAGCCUCGAGCGGCGGCAGCGUGCGGCGCAGGUGGUUCUAACAUGCGGCGCUGGAGGCUUAGGGGGCUAGGGUUUUUUGUUGUGUUUAAGUGUUGGGCUGAUUGGGCUAGGGUUAGUUUUGGGUUAUUGGGUUUUAAUUUGUAUUUGGGCUGCUAAUUUGGGCUUGUUUUAUUUAUUUGGUUUGUUUUAUUUUAGAAUCUGGCCCAGGUCAAAAUUGGCCUAUUACAGUCAAUAUUUUGUAUCAAUCGAUUUGGGCCGGCGCGUACUAAUUAUUUACCGAAAUGGACUGAAAUACACUGAACUGGCCAAAGCACAUCGAAAUUUUAACUGGAACGGAACAUAGACUAAUUGAUACUGAUUUAGGACUGAAACGAUACGUGCCGAUUACCAUAUUGCAACUUUAUAUUCUUAGCUCAUAUAUUAUUGAAUUAUCAGCAAGAAAUCCACCUUUAGUAAUUAUUUAUUAUUUGUAAAAUAAAGAUAUGUAUUAGAAUAAACAUGCGAAUGAUGGAAAUUUUUAACCAAUAUUAUCAACCAACAACUCAUAAAUUAUAAUAUAAAACAGGAGUACAAAUAUUUGAUAUACACACCACAUAAAGAUAGCAUACAUGAUUUAUAUAUCUCGCAUUAAACAUGAGAG
Molecule: long non-coding RNA, 1232 nt
Filed under: Gossypium raimondii (Peruvian cotton)
Lineage: Eukaryota; Viridiplantae; Streptophyta; Magnoliopsida; Malvales; Malvaceae
Description: long non-coding RNA (GRAI_LNC003378)
Source: RNAcentral